GACGAACGCUGGCGGCGUGCUUAACACAUGCCAGUCGAACGGAAAGGCCCUGCUUUUGUGGGGUGCUCGAGUGGCGAACGGGUGAAUAACACGUGAGUAACCUGCCCUUGACUUUGGGAUAACUUCAGGAAACUGGGGCUAAUACCGGAUAGGAGCUCCUGCUGCAUGGUGGGGGUUGGAAAGUUUCGGCGGUUGGGGAUGGACUCGCGGCUUAUCAGCUUGUUGGUGGGGUAGUGGCUUACCAAGGCUUUGACGGGUAGCCGGCCUGAGAGGGUGACCGGCCACAUUGGGACUGAGAUACGGCCCAGACUCCUACGGGAGGCAGCAGUGGGGAAUAUUGCACAAUGGGCGGAAGCCUGAUGCAGCAACGCCGCGUGCGGGAUGACGGCCUUCGGGUUGUAAACCGCUUUCGCCUGUGACGAAGCGUGAGUGACGGUAAUGGGUAAAGAAGCACCGGCUAACUACGUG
Molecule: ribosomal RNA, 468 nt
Filed under: uncultured bacterium
Lineage: Bacteria
Description: partial 16S ribosomal RNA
Rfam family: Bacterial small subunit ribosomal RNA
Source: RNAcentral